GAGUUAAGUAACUAAUAAGG
This 20-nucleotide unclassified non-coding RNA is filed under the name Dictyostelium discoideum. The record is from RNAcentral. Lineage: Eukaryota; Evosea; Eumycetozoa; Dictyosteliales; Dictyosteliaceae.